Molecule: non-coding RNA, 148 nt
Organism: Homo sapiens (human)
Lineage: Eukaryota; Metazoa; Chordata; Mammalia; Primates; Hominidae
Rfam family: Metazoan signal recognition particle RNA
About the family: The signal recognition particle (SRP) is a universally conserved ribonucleoprotein. It is involved in the co-translational targeting of proteins to membranes. The eukaryotic SRP consists of a 300-nucleotide 7S RNA and six proteins: SRPs 72, 68, 54, 19, 14, and 9.
Source: Rfam
GCCAGGUAUAGUGGUGCAUGCCUGUAAUCCCAGCUACCUGGGAGGCUGAGGCAGGAGAAUCGCUGGAACCUGGGAGGCAGAGGCUGCAGUGAGCCAUUAUUGUGCCACUGCACUCCAGCCUGGGUGACAUAGCGAGAUUCUGUCUCAA